RNAcentral lists this ribosomal RNA (710 nucleotides) under uncultured archaeon. RNAcentral's name for it is "bacterial SSU rRNA". It matches the Rfam family "Archaeal small subunit ribosomal RNA", at positions 47 to 762 of the family's 1478-position model. The record is from RNAcentral.
AGCCAUGCGAGUCGAGAGGGUUCGGCCCUCGGCAGACGGCUCAGUAACACGUGGAUAAUCUGCCCUUAGGUGGAGGAUAACCUCGGGAAACUGAGAAUAAUACUCCAUAGAUCUAGGAUGCUGGAAUGCAUCUAGGUUGAAAGUUCCGGCGCCUAAGGAUGAGUCUGCGGACUAUCAGGCUGUAGUCAAGGUAAAGACCUGACUAACCUACGACGGAUACGGGUUGUGAGAGCAAUAACCCGGAGACGAUAUCUGAGACACGAUAUCGGGCCCUACGGGGCGCAGCAGGCGCGAAACCUUCACACUGUGCGAAAGCACGAUGAGGGGAUCCCAAGUGCUUGCACGUAAGUGUAAGCUGUUUCUGUGUCUAAAAAGCAUAGAGAGUAAGGGCUGGGUAAGACGGGUGCCAGCCGCCGCGGUAAUACCUGCAGCUCAAGUGGUGACCGCUAUUAUUGGGCCUAAAACGUUCGUAGCCGGUUUAGUAAAUGCCUGGGUAAAUCGUGUAGCUUAAUUAUACGAAUUCCGGGUAGACUGCUAAACUUGAGACCGGGAGAGGCUAGAGGUACUUCUGGGGUAGAGGUGAAAUUCUGUAAUCCUAGGGGGACCACCAGUGGCGAAGGCGUCUAGCUAGAACGGGUCUGACGGUGAGGGACGAAGCCCUGGGGCGCAAACCGGAUUAGAUACCCGGGUAGUCCAGGGUGUAAACGCUG